This 401-nucleotide RNase P RNA is filed under the name Xanthocytophaga flava. RNAcentral's name for it is "RNase P RNA component class A". It matches the Rfam family "Bacterial RNase P class A". From Rfam's summary of the family: Ribonuclease P (RNase P) is a ubiquitous endoribonuclease, found in archaea, bacteria and eukarya as well as chloroplasts and mitochondria. Its best characterised activity is the generation of mature 5'-ends of tRNAs by cleaving the 5'-leader elements of precursor-tRNAs. The record is from RNAcentral. Lineage: Bacteria; Pseudomonadati; Bacteroidota; Cytophagia; Cytophagales; Rhodocytophagaceae.
UAUGCAAGCCGUCCUAUCGCUAUUCUGUUUUGGCAGAGUGGAGGAAAGUCCGGGCAGCACAGAGCAGCGUACUUCCUAACGGGAAGGCUAUGAACGGGCAACUGGUUAUAGACAGAUAGUGCCACAGAAAAUAUACCGCCAGAUUCUGGUAAGGGUGAAAUGGUGGAGUAAGAGCCCACCGCAUUGAUGGUGACACCAAUGGCAGGGUAAACCUUACGCGCUGAAAGACCAAAUAAGCUGGCGAUGUAAGUAGUGCAUACCCUGUACUACGUAUGAAAGGGCUGCUCGCCCGAGUCAGUGGGUAGGUCGUUAAAGGCCAAUGGUGACGUUGGUUCAAGAUAAAUGAUAGGAGUCUGAAUCUAUUCAGAACACAGAACCCGGCUUACAGGCUUGCAUAAUUU